Molecule: ribosomal RNA, 449 nt
Filed under: uncultured bacterium
Lineage: Bacteria
Description: partial 16S ribosomal RNA
Rfam family: Bacterial small subunit ribosomal RNA
Source: RNAcentral
GUCGAGAAUCUUUCACAAUGGGGGCAACCCUGAUGGAGCGACGCCGCGUGGAGGAUAAGGUCUUCGGAUUGUAAACUCCUGUCAUGCGUGAACAAGGUUGCUUGGUUAAUACCUGGGCAAAUUGAUGGUAACGCAAGAGGAAGAGACGGCUAACUCUGUGCCAGCAGCCGCGGUAAUACAGAGGUCUCAAGCGUUGUUCGGAAUCACUGGGCGUAAAGGGUGCGUAGGUGGCGUGGUAAGUCAGAUGUGACAGCCCGGGGCUCAACCUCGGAACUGCAUCCGAUACUGCCAUGCUAGAGUACUGGAGAGGUGACUAGAAUUCUCGGUGUAGCAGUGAAAUGCGUAGAUAUCGAGAGGAAUACCAAAGGCGUAGGCAGGUCACUGGACAGUUACUGACACUGAGGCACGAAGGCCAGGGGAGCGAACGGGAUUAGAUACCCCAGUAGUCC